AUUGAACGCUGGCGGAAUGCUUUACACAUGCAAGUCGAGCGGCAGCACGAGGGCAACCCCGGUGGCGAGCGGCGAACGGGUGAGUAAUACAUCGGAACAUGCCCAGUCGUGGGGGAUAACACUUCGAAAGAAGUGCUAAUACCGCAUACGUCCUGAGGGGGAAAGCGGGGGAUCGCAAGACCUCGCGCGAUUGGAGUGGCCGAUGUCAGAUUAGCUAGUUGGUGGGGUAAAGGCCUACCAAGGCAACGAUCUGUAGCUGGUCUGAGAGGAUGAUCAGCCACACUGGGACUGAGACACGGCCCAGACUCCUACGGGAGGCAGCAGUGGGGAAUUUUGGACAAUGGGGGCAACCCCGAUCCAGCCAUUCCGCGUGAGUGAAGAAGGCCUUCGGGUUGUAAAGCUCUUUCGGCAGGAACGAAACGGUGAGCUCUAACAUAGCUUGCUAAUGACGGUACCUGAAGAAGAAGCACCGGCUAACUACGUG
RNAcentral lists this ribosomal RNA (484 nucleotides) under uncultured bacterium. RNAcentral describes it as "partial 16S ribosomal RNA". It matches the Rfam family "Bacterial small subunit ribosomal RNA", at positions 30 to 507 of the family's 1533-position model. The record is from RNAcentral.